AUUGAACGCUGGCGGCAGGCCUAACACAUGCAAGUCGAGCGGUAGAGAGGUGCUUGCAUCUCUUGAGAGCGGCGGACGGGUGAGUAAUGCCUAGGAAUCUGCCUAGUGGUGGGGGGAUAACGUUCGGAAACGGACGCUAAUACCGCAUACGUCCUACGGGNGAAAGCGGGGGGAUCUUCGGACCUCGCGCCAUUAGAUGAGCCUAGGUCGGAUUAGCUAGUUGGUGAGGUAAUGGCUCACCAAGGCGACGAUCCGUAACUGGUCUGAGAGGAUGAUCAGUCACACUGGAACUGAGACACGGUCCAGACUCCUACGGGAGGCAGCAGUGGGGAAUUUUGGACAAUGGCGCAAGCCUGAUCCAGCAAUGCCGCGUGCAGGAUGAAGGACCUC
This 390-nucleotide ribosomal RNA is filed under the name uncultured bacterium. Its description in RNAcentral is "bacterial SSU rRNA". It matches the Rfam family "Bacterial small subunit ribosomal RNA", at positions 30 to 419 of the family's 1533-position model. The record is from RNAcentral.